GAUGGUGUUGUGUUGGUGUGUUGUGUGUCCUAUACUGUGAGCCUUCCACCCAACACUCUCUCUUAAAUGACACCACAAUGAGCAAGGGUAUAAGGAACUUGGUGUCAAAAAGAAAGAGAAGGUUUAAAGAAGAUGGAUAUGAUUUGGAUCUUAGUUAUAUCACAGAUCGUCUUAUUGCCAUGGGCUUCCCUGCUCAGAAGCUGGAGGGGGUGUACAGAAACCACAUUGACGACGUUUGCCGCUUCUUAGAGGACAGACACAAGGACCACUACAGAAUAUAUAAUUUGUGCUCUGAAAGAAAUAGAUCGUAUGAUAUAGCAAGAUUUCAUAACCGCGUUAGAACCUUCCCGUUUGCUGACCACAAUCCUCCUCCUUUGAUUGACAUCGAGCCAUUGUGCAAAGACAUGGCAGAUUGGCUUAACGCAGAUCAGAAAAAUGUGGCUGUUGUGCACUGUAAAGCUGGAAAGGGACGAACAGGUGUCAUGAUAUGCUGCUACUUACUUCACUGCCGGUUCAAAAUUUUAGCACAAGACGCAUUGGAUUUUUAUGGAGAUAAGAGAACUUUUGAUAGAAAAGGAGUAACUAUACCCAGCCAAAGAAGAUAUGUGGAGUACUAUGCCAAACUAGUCACCUCAAACUUUAAUUAUAAUCCACCUUAUGUCCGCCUCAGGGAAGCCAGAAUGACUGCACCAUUAUCCAGUGUAAACUCAGAGGUGUAUCUGGUAAUAAGCACCCACAAUAACAAAAAGGGUUAUAGCUCGCAACCGUGUGACGUGCGAAAAGGCAAGGAAUGGCUGCUCCUACCCGUCAAGAAUGAGGAAGCCAGACCAUUUUCAGGGGAUAUCAAGAUUGAGUUGAAAAGAACCAACUUUGUUAGACGAACAGACAAAUUACUCAGUGCCUGGUUAAAUACGCACUUUAUAUUCGAGGAAGGGAAAAAAAUAACUAACGGCUGCGAAAUUACGGCGUCUGACCAAAAUAAUCACAACACCUGCAACACACAGAAUAUCAGACAAAGAAGUAAUAGUUUUCGUGUGGCCAAGCAUGACUGCUUUAGGCACAAGAGACGGGAGUCAGCAGAAGCGAGGGCACAUCCCGCCGGCCUCGGCGGGGACAGGCAAGACUCUCGCAAGUCCGAGAGGCACAGUCGCGAUCGGGAAGAGAGCAAGAGCCUCCCCACGGGGCAUCUCACCAGCCUAACACAGGAGGACUGGCCUCCCCCCGGGGGUGAUCUCAGUCCCUUUUCUCGGCCCCGCCACCAAAAUCGUCAGCGUCGUCGUCACCAUACCCAGCAUCUCCCCGUGUGCGUCGGGGCGGGAGAUCCAUGGGACGAGGCGCGGGCGAGCGAGCAGGAGGUACUGGUGGUGUUGAAGAAGGACCAGUUGGAUAAGGCCAACAAGGACACACAUCACAAACUACUACCGGAAGACUUUCAGAUUGAAUUAUGGUGGCUGGUGUCGUACGUAAACAAAGGGAGCAGUAACGUGCUGGAGUCUCGAGAGAGCGGCUCUACCCCGAGUACCAUCACCCCUUCCGGCUCCUCGUCAGACACGGACGACGACGAUGAUGACGAAGAAGACGAAGACUGGGACUCAGGUAGGAAGUGCUCAAAGGGCUUACAUACCAGCUACAGUUUGCAGAACCUCAAUGGCCACUGCCCAGAGCGCUACGUGGGUCGAUAUCGGCUCAUGUCGGACUGUUCGGCCGCCCACCCGAAUCAUUACACGAUGCCGGAGGGCCCUACAUGACCCUAGCCCCCCUCACCACCACACAUCCUGCUUCCCCAUGACACAAACAUGAACUACAUCCCGCGAGUCUACCUACUUGUGAACACGCGAAGCUUUGGCUGAGUGUUUUGGCUUGGCAUUGUGUACCUGACCCUCCAGAAGUGAUGCAUGUAGGACCCCUCCCCACACCUCUAGUACUCAUCACACCUCACCAUGAGUAUGCCACCAACAUCCACGUCCGAGCCAUCCAUGAUAGUUAGUCGGCUGGUCGCCCCGGUGUUGGCAUUUCAAAGGGACCUCUGACACUCCCCUGAGAAUGUGCAAGAAAGCCUUGUGAUGAGACUCCUCACUCACAUAAACUUUUAUUCAUAAACAUAAAUAUUGUGUUAGUGAACAACUUGAAGGUUGUUAACAAUGUUAGAGAUUGUUUUAAAUUUAAUUCCAAACCCAGUUAAACUUUAUGGGUUUUUUAUGUUCUGGUGUGAGCAUCUGGACUUGUGGUAUUCAUCUAAAACAGUUGCCACUACCUGUAGUUAAAAUAAUUUACAUAUACUUUGUUGACAUUGGAAUAUUUUAUAUGCAUGAUAUCACAUUACAAAUGCAUCCUUAGUGUGAGAAGAAAAUGAUUUGUACAAGUACUAUAUCUCUGUGUGAGAGAUGGAGAUUUGGUCCAUCAGAAUUAGGAAGUUCCUGCACUUGUAUAUCUUGCUUGUUUAUGUGCAUUUAAUGAUCAGCCUCAUCUGUUAUACCUAACCAAGUGGUGUGUAACUUUUGAGUCAUAGUCAAGGAAGAUGACUUGUCUGUAGGUCAGUCAUAUACAGUACAGUACACAACAACCACUGUACUGUACAGUACAGUGGUUGUUGUGUACUGUACUAUACUGUACAGUAUGCAACAACCACUGUACUGUACACUGUGUAUCUAAGUCACCCUGGACAGUACAUUACACUACCUGGUUCGUGAAAUACUCAUUGAGCUGUUUAUAUUCUGAAGUGAUUUUAUCAAGCAACCGCAGCAAAAUACUUUACAUAAGGACGACCGCUCCUUCAACACAACACCUUCAUUAACGUGCAGUGUGUAGCAAUAAGUGUGCUUAUAGGUUAGUAUGAAGGGUGUGAGUAGUGAAGACAAAGUUGGGUUUUACUUAUAUAUUUGCCUUUUUAAAAGGAAUGAAUUUGUCAUGUCUAAUGGUGCAAAAUGCUCUUGAUUUUUGCCAGUAGGCAGGAAUGACAUCUUUUUCGUUAUUAAUUUGAUUACAGCAAAAGUUUUACUUUUGAGCAUCAAUUUCAACUUGAUAACUUUUUUGUACAUAAUUGUAAUCAUAUCUCCUUUGUGUUGCCGAAGGCAUUAAAAUUUUUUCAGCGUGCAGUUAUUAGUUGCCUCCAUGUUGUUAAUCUGAGCCGUGGUCACCAUCUAGAAAUGGUAAAUUACUGAAUUUACUUUCCCCAUUAGUUUUUUUAUUCAUUUAUACUUUUCUAAAUACAGUACUUGAAAAGGAGGAAAUUAUUAUUAAUUUACCAAAGUAAUGAUGCUGAAAGCUUGAUUUUUGAGUUUUGCUUUGAGAAAGCAUAUUUUAAAAGCUAUGGGAAUAUUUGCAUGUAAAAGAGGAGGAUCGGUUAAGGUAGAGUACAGUACAGUAUAGCUAAUGUGAUUGUUCAAGUUAGUUACAUACAAAUAUUUUAAUGUAGUCACUAUUUUUUUACUUAAUUUUAGUUUAGUUUUGACUAGAAAGUACAAAGUAUUGUUAGAUGUUGUAGUAUCAUGCAUUUGGAAAGUGAUUCAUCAGAUUUUUUGUAUAUAAGUGGUUUAAGAGGAAGUAGGAUGUACUUUAUAUGGUUGGUAUUAUCACAUAUUGAACUAUUUGUACAUUACUGAAAUAUUAUUUUAUAUUAUCAUUAAAUUGAUUUUCUUUAUGGCUGCCACGAGUGUAUUCUCGGGCCACACUUCACCAAAGAUAAUUAGCCGGUCCCCACCCACCACAGUACUGUAGUGAGCUGCUUUGUUGAGCACCACACAGGGCUCUUACCCAUACACUGGGCAGCACGGUCACAUCUCAUUCAACUCUUUGUACACACGCUCGGUUACUACAGCGGGUGGUGGACCUGGACUGGGUGGCCCCUCCAGUACGGGAUGAAUCCCACAACGGCCACGGAGUAAUGACAUAAAUUACGUUAUGUGAGUUGCCGGGGCUGUGUGCCACACCUUCACCCACCGCUGGGCAGGAGUUGGAAAAUAAAAUCUUCAGUCAUUGUUUUUUUUUUUUUCAUGUCAUUAAUAAGGAAGUUAAGUGUACAGUAGUUGACUCAGCACACACUGGCUGUGCCCUGGGUGCUGAAGUGUUGAUUUGGUAAUGAAAUAGUAAUUAAGAAUUUAUUUUCUAAACCCUCCCUCUGUUUGAGAAAUUUGAAAAUACAAAGUAAUAAUAUUUAAAAUAUAUAACAUGUAGUAAUUUGUAACAUAAUGAAUUUUUUUUUUAUUAAAUUCAUGUGGUUAAAAUAUAUAUUUCUAUAUUCAUCUUCUCAUUACACUCAUGCUUAUACAAUAGCUAGACCUUUUCUUAUUUUAUUGUGAGUACAAGAUUUUUCUUUUUUUAGUUAAGGUGUUUAUGUAUGGGACUUACAGCCACGUGGGUCCUGUCUCCCAUCAUCUCUUUUGUUCUGAAGAUAAAUGAGACUUUAUUCAUCACUCAUUAGUUUUGUUAAUAAAUGCUGGUUAUUAGAAAAAAGUAUAAAUCUGGUAAUGUACAAAAGGUGAAGCAUUUAAAAGAAGAAAACUGUCACUUCUUA
Molecule: unclassified non-coding RNA, 4513 nt
Filed under: Homarus americanus (American lobster)
Lineage: Eukaryota; Metazoa; Arthropoda; Malacostraca; Decapoda; Nephropidae
Description: phosphatidylinositol 3,4,5-trisphosphate 3- phosphatase and dual-specificity protein phosphatase PTEN- like, transcript variant X18
Source: RNAcentral